AGAGACUGCUGCUCAAGGCCAAGGCACAGUGACAGUGGCCAUGCACAGGUGGCCCAGGAGGUACUAGCCCACGCACCCACAGCAGCCAGACUGAACCACAGAGGGUUUGGAUGGGUCACUAGGAUGCAGGGACACCUCUCCCUGUCCAUUUCUUUGAAUGUCCCUGGAGGAGAGCCCCGCCCGCCUGCAGACGAGCCCACUGGGAUGGAAUGAUGACCCGGGCCACAUGCACUGAAGGGCCGCACACUGCUGUUGGCCUCCCCAGUGGCUGGGUCCCAGAAGCCUGUCUCUGCAGUUCCCCAGAGGCAGCCACCGUCAGCCUGCCUCGCCCCAGCACCGGCCAGCACCCAACAAUGUC
Molecule: long non-coding RNA, 358 nt
Filed under: Androctonus crassicauda
Lineage: Eukaryota; Metazoa; Arthropoda; Arachnida; Scorpiones; Buthidae
Source: RNAcentral